AUUCUUUCCUGGCGGGAGCUAUACCGAUCACAAAGGGGGUUUUCCCAGGGUGACGCUUACCCACUGCACUCAGAUGUGCAGACCUCUGUGAUUUCUCCAAAUGUGGAAAACUCAACUUCAUAACUUGUGGUAAUGUGUACUAUGUUUAUGUCUUCUCC
Molecule: small nuclear RNA, 158 nt
Organism: Heterocephalus glaber (naked mole-rat)
Lineage: Eukaryota; Metazoa; Chordata; Mammalia; Rodentia; Bathyergidae
Gene: U1
Rfam family: U1 spliceosomal RNA
About the family: U1 is a small nuclear RNA (snRNA) component of the spliceosome (involved in pre-mRNA splicing). Its 5' end forms complementary base pairs with the 5' splice junction, thus defining the 5' donor site of an intron.
Source: Ensembl